GAUGAACGCUGGCGGCGUGCCUAAUACAUGCAAGUCGAGCGAACGGACGAGACGCUUGCUUCUCUGAUGUUAGCGGCGGACGGGUGAGUAACACGUGGAUAACCUCCCUAUAAUACUGGUAUAACUUCGGGAAACCGGAGCUUAUCCCGUAUGAUAUUUUGCUCCGCAUGGUUCAUAAGUGAAAUACGGUCUUGCUGUCACUUAUCGAUGGAUCCGCGCUUCAUUAGCUAGUUGGUAAGUUAACGGCUUACCAAGGCAACGAUGCAUAGCCGACCUGAGAGGGGGAUCGGCCACACUGGAACUGGAACGCGGUCAAGACGACUACGGGAGGCAGCAGUAGGGAAUCGGACGCAGUGGGCGAAAGCAUGACGGAGCAGCGCCGAGUGAGUGAUGGAGAUCUUCGGAUCGUGAAAAUCUGUUAUUAGGGAAGAACAGAUGUGUAAGUAACUGUGCACAGAUUGACGGUACCUAAUCAGAAAGCCACGGCUAACUACGUG
Molecule: ribosomal RNA, 497 nt
Filed under: uncultured bacterium
Lineage: Bacteria
Description: partial 16S ribosomal RNA
Rfam family: Bacterial small subunit ribosomal RNA
Source: RNAcentral